RNAcentral lists this long non-coding RNA (8316 nucleotides) under Nicotiana tabacum (common tobacco). RNAcentral's name for it is "long non-coding RNA (NTAB_LNC004006)". Lineage: Eukaryota; Viridiplantae; Streptophyta; Magnoliopsida; Solanales; Solanaceae. The record is from RNAcentral.
UACCCUUGUAGGAUUUCAACUUUACUACUGAGCAAACUUUAGAUUACAACCUAUUGUAACCGAGGGAUUAACCUCUUAAUCCCUCACUAACUUGUAACAACUCUAUUACAAGUCACUUUGUAAUAACUCUAUUACAAACACUUACAACUCGACUAACUUUAGUCAAGACACAAACACACGGGUUUAUGAUUUACAAAGGUUUCCUACACAAUGCUUCUAACUAAGCUAAGUAGGAAUUACAAGUAAAGAACUUUAACAAAGGUACAACAUAACUAGGUACAUGUAAUGACUCAAUAUGUAAAACUGGUCCUUCGUUAUGUUGUUCUUUGUUCUUGAUGCCCUUAAGAAUCACUUGCAAGAUUGACAUAGACUUGAGAGAGUGUUUGAUUGAUUUGAAUGUGCAAGUGUUUUGUUUUACCUUUGCUUGAUGUAAAUAACUCAAUUAUGACAUCACUUGAAUGACGUAAGUAAUUUAGGUAAAAGGCAUUCCCCAUAAAGUUGACUGAUGUACUGUUUUUGCACUGUUGCAUGUGUAGGCAGCAACUUUACAACUGUAGAUCCAUCUGUUCCCCUUGUUGUUUCUUUGUCGUCUGAAGAGUUGAUUUACAUCUCCAGCUUGAGUCUUGUUGUUUUCACAUACUUGAGAAUGUGUAUCAGGUUCCUUAUCUGGUUUUUGUCAUUAAAUUUAUUAGAUCAUCAAAACAUAAUAAUAUACAUAUAGCCUAUCAAAUACAUAUAAGUGAAGAAUCCUAGUGUAACUACUACAAAUAAUAGAAGAGACUUGAUCAUUAUCGACCUCUAUCUAUGAUCCUUAUUAGUAUCUUCAACACUUCCUCUCAGGCUAGUGUAGGAAGGAACAUCCACUCCUAGCUUUCUUUAGAAAACUGCAAAGUGUUCCUUAGACAGUGCCUAGGUAUGAAUCUCAGCCAUAUGAUCCUUUGAUCAAACAAAAUGUGUGACAAGUUGUCCAUUAGCUACCUUCUCUCUUAUAGAAUUCAUAAUCCAUAUCUACAUGUUUUGUUGUAUCAUGUAAGACUGGAUUUACUGUCAUGUACAAUGCACUGAGAUUGUCACAGAACAACACUGGAUCUCUCUUUAAGUACAAACCAAUAUCUCUAAGAAUAUAAGUUAUCCAAGUAACUUCAGUUGCAGUUGAGGCCAAUGCCCUGUAUUCGAAUAUCGAGGUUUAUAUCUUGGGGUACUUUUUACAUGCCAUGUAUUUUUUUUAUGUUCUACUUGUUACAUGACUACUUGAGCAUAUCUCCCAUGCUCGUACAAUGUUACAGAUAUCCUUCACAUACUAGUUUAAUAUUAUAGUUGAUAAAUAUGUCGGAUUACAUAUAGGACAUGCACCAAAUAAAUGCAUUCGCAUUUGUAUAUGUGAUUCACACCUUUUUAUGGUUAUGGCACGUUGAGUCUGUGUGGUUUAUGGUAUGCAUGUGAAUUGGGCAUGCACUUAGCACAUUGAGUUUUCCAUACAGGUUUUAAUAUGUAUGUGAAUUCGUGGUGUGAUUUAGCACCGUAAGUUGUUCGUAUAUUUAUAAUAUUACGUGUGGAUAUGGAUCCAUCCCUCAUAAUUCAAUGUAACAUUGAACCACUGGUAGUCUAUGUGCAAGUUUGAUUUGACACUUGGAGAGUGUCAGUUUGAUGUAAUAUUUGAGUCUUCUUCAUGCAUAGACAUUUAGAGGCUCUAGUAGUUGCAAUUCAUAUAAAUAUUGAGUUACAUUUUAUUUAGGGUAUUCGAUACGUGCAUUGGACUUGCAUAGUUGAGAUAUGAUACAUCAUGUCACAUACUCUAUUUGUUCAUAACAUUAUAUACUUGACGGUGUAUAAAGUGAUUAUAUUAUUUAUGUGCCUUUCUGUGCACAAUGUAUCUCAAGUUUUAGGACUCGAAAUUUGAUGAUUCAAAAAUGAGGUGAAAGAUGACGAUAUGAACUAUAAGAAAGACUAUUUACUUGUUCAAAACAAGUAAAUAUUGAUGCUGCACCAAUUCAAUGAAAGUUAUGGUUCUGUGAUAUCAAAAGAACGAAUUUAGAUCAAGAAAUGUGUUCUUGAAAGAUCAAGAACUAAACAAGUUCCUAACAUCACCACUUGGAAUCAAUUAACGUGAUAAAGAAAUACCACACACAAUUGAAAACAAGAUAAAGACUAUCACCACCUUGCUUGUAACCAAAAAUAAGGAUAAAGAAAACAAAAUAGAGAAAAUCACUUUAUUGUAAAACUAGGGCAAGCCUCAAGGAAUUCUUUUCUACAAGGCAAGAGAACCCUUUAUAUAAGCCUAGAGUCUCUUCUUUGAUGACUACAAUUCCUAUUCUAAUAAGGAAAUAAAAUAACUAAAGAUAAGAAAAGUAAAAUCUCUAUUAUACAAGGAAAAGAAACUAGAAUCCUACUAAAAGGAAAAUCCUUAUUCUAAAAGGAAUAAAAUAAAUCCUAAUUUAAGAAGGAAAGAAUCUUGGCUUCCUGAAAUCAAUCUUGAGCUUCUUGGACUUCUUGUGCUUCUUGAAAAUAAGUCCAUAUGUUUGGACUUGAGCUCUAAAACAUGAUCUUGGCCAAAAUUAACAAAAUUUAACAUAGAUUCUUCUUUUACAUCAUUCUCCCCUAAUUGAGAAAGACUCGUCCUCGAGUCUAAAGGCUCCACAAAUGGCACAAGAUUGGAAACUUCCAUGAUUUGGUUGAACUCAUAUGCACCAGGCUCUAAGUUCUAUUUUUCUAACUUGUCGAAGAGCUUCAUCAUAUUGUAACAAAGUAUAGCAUGUGGCCGAACUAAAUCCCAUUUUCUCAAUCGUAUCUUUUUACCAAUAUUUCUGCAAUGAAUCCUCUUAAAUCGAUUUUUAAACACUAACCCAUAGCCACAAGUUAUUUUCUUUUGAUCUUCAAGAAUCCUGAACUUCCCUAUGUCAAUGUGGUACUUAUGGGAUAUGCCCAGAAAAAGUUGAUUUAGUACCACAAAAACCCUUAGAAGAAUAAAAUUCAAGUACCUUUGGAUGAGGCUUGGAGAUUGAAGUAUAUCUUCUUGAGAAUUCAUCAACAACAACGCUCUCAUAUUUAACUAGAUCAUAACCAUUGAUAGAAUUUGUGUUAAGAUUUCUUGUUCCUACAUAUGCUUGAAAAUAUUCAUUCUUUGGAGGCACUAAAAAAGCUGGAACAAAAUCUGAACUCAAAUCCUCGAUUAUAGACUCCUUUUAAGCAACCCUUCCUCUUGUGUUUGUAAAAUUUUAUGGACUUUUGGAUUAAUGCAACAUGCUGCCUCAUUUGGAAGGAUGGAAUCAGCAAUCAAAUUAAUAUUAUGUUGAGCAUCUCUAUUUAUUGGAAAGUUAAGCUCACAUAUAGGAUGCUCUAACGAAUCAUCUUCAAACUUCGGAGGUAAAUCAUCAACUUGUAGAUCCAGUUCAUGUUCCUCCUCCUUGAUUGGACUUCAAAGAUUUUUUUCUAUUGAUUGGACCAAUUGUUUGUAAUUUGGUCAGAAAAGAAUCAUCAUUGAGCUUUAGAUUUUUAGCAAUUUCUUCGGGAUUCAACGAUAAUAAAAUAAUCUUAUGUUCAUCAUUUGUAAAAGAUAGGUGUUAAGGUCUUCAUCAUAUUUAGCACACCUAUCAUACACCCAUGGUCUUCCAAGUAAUAAGUGACAAGCAUCCAUCUUCACUACGUCAUAUCAAAUAUGGUCUUUAUAGAUCUUACCAAUAAAAAAUGAUAUUAGGCAUUGACGAGUUACCUCUAAACCAUCACUAUCUUGAACUUCGAUGCUAUAAGGAUAUGGAUGAAUUUUGGUUGACAAGCCGAGUUUAGUGAUCAUCUCUUCAUAAACGAUAUUUAUAUGACUCCCACGAUUAAUAAUCAACGAACAAACUUUUCCAUGGGAGGUACAUCAAGUGCGUAAAAGAGAUUCAUGUUGUCUUGUUUCUUCAUCUUCUUGAACCAAGAAUUUUCCUCUUGGUAGAAUAUUAGACAUGAUUUCUCAGUCUUUAGAACUGUAGGUUAUAGCUCUGAUACCAAAUUGAUGUGAUAAAUUCAUCGACCUGGGACCUAUGGAUUAUAGUUCUGAUACCAAAUUGAUGUGAUUCUUCGAGUUAACAAAGAACCAACCGACCAGGAUCAAGAUCUUGAAACAAAAACGUGAUUUGUGGGCCAAUUUCAAGAAAUUACGUAUCUCAAGUUUUAGGACUCGAAAUCUGAUGAUUCAAAAAUGAGGUGAAAGAUGACGAUCUGAACUAUAAGAAAGACUAUUUACUUGUUCAAAAUAAGUAAAUAUGGAUGUUGCACCAGUUCAAUGAAACCUAUGGUUUUAUGAUAUCAAAAGAAUGAAUUUAGAUCAAGAAAUGUGUUCUUGAAAAAUCAAGAACUAAACAAGUUCCUAACGUCACCACUUGGAAUCAAUUAACGUGAUAAAGAAACACCACACGCAAUUGAAAACAAGAUAAAGAUUAUUACCACCUUGCUUGGAACCAAAAAUAAGGAUAAAGACGACAAAAUAGAGAAAAAUACUUUAUUGUAAAACUAGGGCAAGCCUCAAGGAAUUCUUUUCUACAAGGCAAGAGAACCUUUUAUAUAGGCCUAGAGUCUCUUCUUUGAUGACUACAAUUCCUAUUCUAAUAAGGAAAUAAAAUAGCUAAAGACAAGAAAAGUAAAAUCCCUAUUCUACAAGGAAAAGAUACUAAAAGGAAACUCCUUAUUCUAAAAGGAAUAAAAUAAAUCAUAUUUUAAGAAGGAAAGAAUCUUGGCUUCCUGAAAUCAAUCUUGAGCUUCUUGGACUUCUUGCGCUUCUUGAAAAUAAAUCCAUAUAUUUGGACUUGAGCUCUAAAACAUGAUCUUGGCCAAAAUUAAUAAAAUUUAACAUAGAUUCUUCUUUACAUAAUAUGAUAAAUGCACAGGUUUAUGAAGUGAGUAUCUUCCGAUAUCAAUCCUUUCCACUUCCUUAUUAGGGAUGAUCGAUAAUGCUUAUUUAUUUUACGUUGGUGUACGCAUAGUAUACUUUUGCACCCUAUGUGUAGACAUGAAUUUAAGUUGUUGUGUAGAUCAUGUGCGGGCAUUGAAGAUCUACCAGUGUCCCAAUAUGGAGUUUUCAGCUAGUUCUGUAACAACCCAGCUGAUCGUUUUGUGUAUUUGAGCCUUGUUCUCCUAUUUAUAUAUUUGUACGCAUAUGACUAUUGAUUGACUCAUUUUGUGAUUACGAAAAAUGGAGUUAACUGAUAUUGUGCCAUCAUCAUUUUUUGAGCACGUAUUUGUCGCUUAGACUCAUCCGGUGGCUCUUAUAUUAUGUGUGAACGUUGAUUGACUCGUAUCAUGAUAUUGAAGGAACUAAGAUAAUUGAUAUUGUAUUCUAUAUCUUUGUUUGAAAAGCAUGUCUAAAUUCCAGUUUUUACUGAGUUUCUAUUGGCAGACUCAUUUGAUGAUAUCAUGCCCUAUUCCAUGUUUCAUAUAUGCUUAUUGAGCUGUUAGUAGGUGUCGAUGCUGACCUCUUGCCACUACAUCUUCAAGGUUAGACUUAAUACUUAUUAAGUACCGUAGUUUUGUACUCAUACUAUACUUCUACAUAUUUUGUGCAGGUUCUGAGACUGGUAUUUGCGGUUCCAUUGAGCUGAGUAGGAGUGUGUUAUUGUAGACUUCGUGGUGAGCUGCUUUUCUAUUUAUGUAUUUCUUUUCCGGACAUAUGUUAAUUCAGUUGAAACUUGUUACUCUUAUUAGAUGCUCGUGAUGUAGUGACACCGAGUUUUGGGCAUUGUUAGGCAAUUGUGGUCGUGUUUAUACCUUUACAUUGAUUAUGUAUUUAUGAUCUUGAAUUGAAAUUUUUUCCGCAUUGUUAUUUAUAUCAUGAAAUAAUAAAGGCUUAAUAAUUGGAAGUUUUUGUUGCCGUUGAGUGUUGACCUGCCUUGCGAGCAGAUUAUGCGCCAUCACGACCUUUGGUGAAAUUUCGUGUCACGACCCAAAAUUUCACCAAGUCGUGAUAUCACCUAACCCAACCGUUAAGGUAAACCAAAUAGUAUAAGUUACAAUUAUAAUGAAAAAUCAUCAAUAUUAAUAUUAAAUACUACAAGAAAUUCACAACUAUCCCAGGAUUGGUAGUACAAGUCAUGAGUCACUAUGAUUUUGAUUUAUGAAAUUAAUGUGAAGAAUAAAUACAAUAUCUGUUUGAAGUUUACAUAAACAGAAAUGAAGUCCUAAACUACCACAAACAAGAGGUACCUUGAAUCUGCAAUGCUUGUAUAUGUUCAAUGUAAGGCUCCGUCUUCCACAAAUACUCAGCUCUAGAAUCUGCACGCAUGAUGCAGAAAUAUAGUAUGAGUACAACCGAUCUCAUGUAAUCAGUAAGUAUCUUGACUAACCUUAGUGAAGUAGUGACGAGGUUUUUAAGUCAAAAAAUACUCACUUUGCAUAAAUUGUGCAGCUCAAUAACAUAUAUAAUACAGAGAAAUAUUCCAGAAAAGACAAUUACAGAAUAAAGGAUAUCAACAAUAAACGUGCAAAACUGGGGUAGGGAUAACAAACAAACUCUCCCAAUUAAACAAUUCAAGGAUAUACAAUGUGCACUAAACCCGCUUGCAAGGGGACAUGCACCAAAUAAUGUGUAUGCUCAAUUUCUCAUACAUGACUGUAAGCAUGUGCCCAAUAUGAUGCAAAUCUGUAUUACUUUCCAAAUAACAUGUUCAGGUGAACCUUACAAGAAUCCAAUACAUUAAUGCAUGAUGACAAAUUUCCUUUUUACAUCAAUCUAAUAUGCUACCGACAACUCAAUAAAUAUGAGAUAUUAUCUCAACACAGGUAAAUCCAUCUUGACAACCAAACCGUCAAAUAAUAAUAGAAGCAUAGGAAAGCAUGUUAGAUGCAACAAAGACAACACGUAUAAUGCAUGAUAAAGCAUAAAGAAUUCACUUGUAUAAUCAAGAAUGACACCCCCAUAAUCCAUAUUUCAUCACAAUAAUAAUAUCCACUCUUAUCGCUCUGUAAUAUCAAUAUCCACUUGUAUCUCUCUAUAAUAACAAUAUUCACCCUUAUCACUCUGCAAUAACAAUAUCCAACCUUAUCGUUCUGUAGCAACAAUAUCCACCCUUAUCGCUUCGUAGCAACAAUAUCAAUCAUAAUCGCACAGCAAAACCUCGUGCCAACAUCCAAUCAAUCCGUCCAAUAUGUCCAUGUGUGCUAUAAUCAUAAUAAUUCAACAAAUUAUCAUCAAGAGAUAUAUCCUCAUAAUUCAUUAAUGAAGUACAUAAGGACAUGAAAAUAAUAAAAGUGUCGAUGAGUGCUCAAGAUAUAAGACAUGACUAUAGCUAAUUCAAUUAGCAAUGAUUCCACAAAUGCCCGUCUUGCAUAAUUAGGAAAUAAAAAUCCUAAAACAUGAACUCUAGCAUGAAAGGAUAAACCCGUAUAGUCAUACAAAGGAUCACAUUUAUAAUAUAGAGAGCACACAUUCAAUUCAAAGCACAACAAAAAAAUAACAAGUACGGGUAUGUGUUCAUAACAUACAUGUGACUAAGCCGAGGAAUGUAUAGCAUCAAUCUCAAGAUUAGUUCAUCAUGUUCAAAAUAAGGCACCAAUAGCCUUAACAUUAGCUCUAGGGAGGUUUAUUAUGCUCACAUAGUUAAUUAAUUGAAUAACACAGAGAAUCAAGUAGAACAUACAACCCAUAAAGGCAUAGAGUUAUCUAGAAUUCACCCCGAGCAUGAAUACCCAUAGCACAUGUAUAUACGCUCAUCACCUCGUAUAUACAUCAGCCCUGCAUGUAACAAACAAUAUAAAUUAUUAGGAAAAUUCCCUCAAUCAAAGCUAGAUAAGACACUUAUCUCAUCGGGCUAGUCCAAAGCUCCAAAAGUGUUUUUCCUUGAGAAAUCAACUCUAACCGUCUCAAAUCUAGCCAAACAUGUAAUACCCUAUAUUUAAAUUAGGGCAUAUUAGUCGUUAAGUAUUUUUCUUUAAAAAAAUAUAUAAUUACAAAGAGAAUGGGAAAGCCCACUAUGAAGGAUUAAACAAGAAAGGAAGAGGGGAUUAAGAAGGGGGAAAAUGCACCCAAAAGCUUCUUCCGCAACUAAACAUAGAUAGUAUCAAGAUUUAAACCCAUCAAAUAAUUGAAAUAGAGUAGCAAGAAGCUUUGAAGCUUCAGUUAAUUGUGGUAAGUCUCUCAGCUAAAGAGGGGUAAGUUCUCUACGGUUUUGUUUCUCUUGUUCUCUGAUUUAUGGAAUUCCAUAGGGUACCGGAAAAAAGAAUACUAUAGGCAGUGGUUCGAUUUGCUUUGGACUUAUGCACAAAUUGAGUAUCAUGUGGUGUUAAGAAUCAGAUGAAUAUAUUAUAUGAAAGGGUAGAGACAAGAAGAGGAACUUAAGAUGUUUU